This 253-nucleotide ribosomal RNA is filed under the name uncultured bacterium. RNAcentral describes it as "partial 16S ribosomal RNA". It matches the Rfam family "Bacterial small subunit ribosomal RNA", at positions 524 to 776 of the family's 1533-position model. The record is from RNAcentral.
UACGUAGGUGGCAAGCGUUGUCCGGAUUUAUUGGGUUUAAAGGGUGCGUAGGCGGUCCUAUAAGUCAGUGCUGAAAUAUCCCGGCUUAACCGGGAGGGUGGCAUUGAUACUGCAGGACUUGAGUGAGGUCGAGGUAGGCGGAAUUGACGGUGUAGCGGUGAAAUGCUUAGAUAUCAGGAGGAACACCGGUGGCGAAGGCGGGUCUCUGGGCAACAACUGACGCUGAGAUACGAAAGCGUGGGUAGCAAACAGG